Molecule: ribosomal RNA, 2314 nt
Filed under: Listeria monocytogenes
Lineage: Bacteria; Bacillati; Bacillota; Bacilli; Caryophanales; Listeriaceae
Description: partial 23S ribosomal RNA
Rfam family: Bacterial large subunit ribosomal RNA
Source: RNAcentral
CUGAGUACGGCGGAACACGUGAAAUUCCGUCGGAAUCCGGGAGGACCAUCUCCCAAGGCUAAAUACUCCCUAGUGACCGAUAGUGAACCAGUACCGUGAGGGAAAGGUGAAAAGCACCCCGGAAGGGGAGUGAAACAGUUCCUGAAACCGUGUGCCUACAAGUAGUUAGAGCCCGUUAAUGGGUGAUAGCGUGCCUUUUGUAGAAUGAACCGGCGAGUUACGAUUUGUUGCAAGGUUAAGCGGAAAAAGCGGAGCCGUAGCGAAAGCGAGUCUGAAUAGGGCGCAUAAGUAACAGGUCGUAGACCCGAAACCAGGUGAUCUACCCAUGUCCAGGAUGAAGGUAAGGUAAUACUUACUGGAGGUCCGAACCCACGCACGUUGAAAAGUGCGGGGAUGAGGUGUGGGUAGCGGAGAAAUUCCAAUCGAACUUGGAGAUAGCUGGUUCUCUCCGAAAUAGCUUUAGGGCUAGCCUCGAGGUAAAGAGUCAUGGAGGUAGAGCACUGUUUGGACUAGGGGCCCUUCUCGGGUUACCGAAUUCAGAUAAACUCCGAAUGCCAUGUACUUAUACUCGGGAGUCAGACUGCGAGUGAUAAGAUCCGUAGUCGAAAGGGAAACAGCCCAGACCACCAGUUAAGGUCCCCAAAUAUAUGUUAAGUGGAAAAGGAUGUGGGGUUGCUUAGACAACCAGGAUGUUGGCUUAGAAGCAGCCACCAUUGAAAGAGUGCGUAAUAGCUCACUGGUCGAGUGACCCCGCGCCGAAAAUGUACCGGGGCUAAACAUAUUACCGAAACUGUGGAUGAACCUCUUUAGAGGUUCGUGGUAGGAGAGCGUUCUAAGGGCGGUGAAGUCAGACCGGAAGGACUGGUGGAGCGCUUAGAAGUGAGAAUGCCGGUAUGAGUAGCGAAAGAAGGGUGAGAAUCCCUUCCACCGAAUAUCUAAGGUUUCCUGAGGAAGGCUCGUCCGCUCAGGGUUAGUCGGGACCUAAGCCGAGGCCGAUAGGCGUAGGCGAUGGACAACAGGUAGAGAUUCCUGUACCAGUGCUAAUUGUUUAACCGAUGGGGUGACACAGAAGGAUAGGGAAUCGCACGAAUGGAAAUGUGCGUCCAAGCAGUGAGUGUGAGAAGUAGGCAAAUCCGCUUCUCGCGAAGCAUGAGCUGUGAUGGGGAAGGAAAUUAAGUACGGAAGUUCCUGAUUUCACGCUGUCAAGAAAAGCCUCUAGGAAGAGUAGUACUGCCCGUACCGCAAACCGACACAGGUAGAUGAGGAGAGAAUCCUAAGGUGAGCGAGAGAACUCUCGUUAAGGAACUCGGCAAAAUGACCCCGUAACUUCGGGAGAAGGGGUGCUCUAUUAGGGUGCAAGCCCGAGAGAGCCGCAGUGAAUAGGCCCAGGCGACUGUUUAGCAAAAACACAGGUCUCUGCAAAACCGUAAGGUGACGUAUAGGGGCUGACGCCUGCCCGGUGCUGGAAGGUUAAGAGGAGUGCUUAGCUUCGGCGAAGGUACGAAUUGAAGCCCCAGUAAACGGCGGCCGUAACUAUAACGGUCCUAAGGUAGCGAAAUUCCUUGUCGGGUAAGUUCCGACCCGCACGAAAGGCGCAACGAUCUGGGCACUGUCUCAACGAGAGACUCGGUGAAAUUAUAGUACCUGUGAAGAUGCAGGUUACCCGCGACAGGACGGAAAGACCCCGUGGAGCUUUACUGCAACCUGAUAUGGAAUGUUUGUACCGCUUGUACAGGAUAGGUAGGAGCCGAAGAGACGUGUGCGCUAGCAUACGAGGAGGCAAUGGUGGGAUACUACCCUGGCUGUAUGACCAUUCUAACCCGCCACGCUUAGCGCGUGGGGAGACAGUGUCAGGUGGGCAGUUUGACUGGGGCGGUCGCCUCCUAAAGAGUAACGGAGGCGCCCAAAGGUUCCCUCAGAAUGGAUGGAAAUCAUUCGCAGAGUGUAAAGGCACAAGGGAGCUUGACUGCGAGACUGACAAGUCGAGCAGGGACGAAAGUCGGGCUUAGUGAUCCGGUGGUUCCGCAUGGAAGGGCCAUCGCUCAACGGAUAAAAGCUACCCCGGGGAUAACAGGCUUAUCUCCCCCAAGAGUCCACAUCGACGGGGAGGUUUGGCACCUCGAUGUCGGCUCGUCGCAUCCUGGGGCUGUAGUCGGUCCCAAGGGUUGGGCUGUUCGCCCAUUAAAGCGGCACGCGAGCUGGGUUCAGAACGUCGUGAGACAGUUCGGUCCCUAUCCGUCGCGGGCGCAGGAAAUUUGAGAGGAGCUGUCCUUAGUACGAGAGGACCGGGAUGGACACACCGCUGGUGUACCAG